This 468-nucleotide ribosomal RNA is filed under the name uncultured bacterium. RNAcentral describes it as "partial 16S ribosomal RNA". It matches the Rfam family "Bacterial small subunit ribosomal RNA", at positions 28 to 507 of the family's 1533-position model. The record is from RNAcentral.
GACGAACGCUGGCGGCGUGCUUAACACAUGCAAGUCGAACGGAAAGGCCCUGCUUUUGUGGGGUGCUCGAGUGGCGAACGGGUGAGUAGCACGUGAGUAACCUGCCCUUGACUUUGGGAUAACUUCAGGAAACUGGGGCUAAUACCGGAUAGGAGCUCCUGCUGCAUGGUGGGGGUUGGAAAGUUUCGGCGGUUGGGGAUGGACUCGCGGCUUAUCAGCUUGUUGGUGGGGUAGUGGCUUACCAAGGCUUUGACGGGUAGCCGGCCUGAGAGGGUGACCGGCCACAUUGGGACUGAGAUACGCCCCAGACUCCUACGGGAGGCAGCAGUGGGGAAUAUUGCACAAUGGGCGGAAGCCUGAUGCAGCAACGCCGCGUGCGGGAUGACGGCCUUCGGGUUGUAAACCGCUUUCGCCUGUGACGAAGCGUGAGUGACGGUAAUGGGUAAAGAAGCACCGGCUAACUACGUG